Molecule: long non-coding RNA, 1848 nt
Organism: Triticum aestivum (bread wheat)
Lineage: Eukaryota; Viridiplantae; Streptophyta; Magnoliopsida; Poales; Poaceae
Exons: 2
Source: RefSeq, a predicted model, not a curated record
AGAUCCCCUUUUCUCUGUCUAUUUCCCCCUUUUUUUAGGAUAUUGAGUGAACUUUUGAUGUUUUGAUCUACUGAUGAACUAGGUGAUGUGAAAUUUGUGAACUAAUUAGCUUACCAUAAGUUAAUGAACACUUAAUUCAUACUGCUAGAAUUUUGUGAUAUAUAGAUCAGCACCUUCUGUGAUUUGGGGACACUUUUUAUGUGCCAAGCAGAAAUAUUCCAGCAGUUUGUUUGUGCAGUACAUCAGUUUUAGUAUCAUCACUUUGAGAAAUAUAUUAUACUAGUGCAACCUGUAUUCAAGGGCGGAGCCCCUAAUAAUUCGCCCCCCUCAAUGAAUUGGAGCACGUAAUAUCAGUAGGAUACGAAUUAAUCACCGUGUACUAAUGGUUCUAUGUAUGCACCAAGGCCCCACUAAAAAAAGCCAAUGAUUAAGCUAUUGCUGUAUUUAGCUUCUCCAUCUCGUUGCUCAUGACCCAGCGUCGUAGUUUCUCUAAAAAAGCCUAGCACCGCACGUUAACUCAGAUCGAUGGGCCCAUCAUUGUGAAAGUGGAUUCGCCCUAUUUGUGUAUGAGUGAGCACCGCACGUCGCCGAUGGAUUUUACGCCAGCUGCUACGGUGCUAGUCACGGGGGGCUCUUAAUGCUGUCGCGAUGCCAAGCUGAUUUUCCCAAGUAGAUUGAUCUUUAAAUCUGAAUGUAUAUAGGUGCACAGACCUACUAGUAGCUAGUUCAUUUCAGUAUGAAUUUUAAUCUACUAAUCUGGUUUUCCUCAUACAUUGCAUAAUAGCAGCAAAAUGAAUCACUAAUUUGGUGUAUAUCUUUUUAAUCCGCGUCUGGUAAUUCUGAUUAGUCUAAAUUCAAUCAAUACCCAUUCACUUACUUGCGCAUUUGUUAGCAUAUAAUUCAUGCUUGAGUUAACAAUCCAAUUCUAAUGUUGGAGCAAACUUAGUUCGUGUUUGUUUAAUAUGGGUGAGCUGAGGCCCUAAUGGUUGGAUGUUAAUCCAAAGACAGAAAAAUGCCAAAAUAAAAAUACAAAACUUACAAUUGGCACAUCCUUACAUAACUUUGUUAUGACACAAGAACGAAGGGAAGGACACAAACAAUAAUUGAUACCAGAUAUUAUGUGAUGUUUUAUCUUUUAUGCGAUCAUAUUUUGCUUCACCUCCUCAUGUCUAAAUCCUAGCUUCGCCCAUGCUUAUAUUUGCAUUCUAAGUUUGUUACUUUAUCACAUUCAUGUGUGCAUUAGGAAAGUAAAUAUUCACAUGUAGAAUGGUUGUAGAAUGGCUACAUCGGUUAAGGUCCAAGUCCAAACAAAUUUAAGCAAAAUUCAUUUAGUUUGUGUUGAUAACCAUAGGAUGGAAGGUAUUUUGGAAAUUCAUUUGGUUCUAUUCCCUGUCAUCUUUUGCAGUUUCACAUAAUACAAUCAUGCUACUAGUUUUGUAGAUUGAGGGAAAGGAUGGCAUUUCUUGAGGAAGAUAAAGGCAUGGUUGAUGCGUGUGCUAGGCCAAGGGAUGCACAUAUUGCAUUGGGAGGACUUAAUUGUGAGACUUGAAGCACAAGAGAGAGUGCUUGAAGAGAUGGAGAAGAAACAACAAGAAGAAUUUGAAGCUGUGAAGAAGAGCCAACAAGACAAGAGUGAAGCCGGGGGAAAGAAGCAACAUGAAAUGGAUAAACUAAUGGCUUUUUCUCUCAAGUGCUCAAGCAACUUUAGUCUGAGUCCAAACCUGUGUGACUGAUUUGUGGUUAUCUAAAUGGUACUUUGCAACUUGUCUAUUGUAGCGAGUGCUAAAACUUGUGAAUUUGGCUAAGAUGAUUGCACUUAUAAUGUGAUUUGUCUUUUAUUUAAACUUA